UACGUAGGGUGCGAGCGUUGUCCGGAAUUAUUGGGCGUAAAGAGCGUGUAGGCGGCCAGGUAGGUCCGUUGUGAAAACUCGAGGCUCAACCUCGAGACGCCGAUGGAAACCCCCUGGCUAGAGUCCGGAAGAGGAGAAUGGAAUUCCUGGUGUAGCGGUGAAAUGCGCAGAUAUCAGGAAGAACACCCGUGGCUAAGGCGGUUCUCUAGUACGGUACUGACGCUGAGACGCGAAAGCGUGGGGAGCGAACAGG
This 253-nucleotide ribosomal RNA is filed under the name uncultured bacterium. Its description in RNAcentral is "partial 16S ribosomal RNA". It matches the Rfam family "Bacterial small subunit ribosomal RNA", at positions 524 to 776 of the family's 1533-position model. The record is from RNAcentral.